Macrobrachium nipponense is the source of this 816-nucleotide long non-coding RNA. RefSeq lists it as uncharacterized. Lineage: Eukaryota; Metazoa; Arthropoda; Malacostraca; Decapoda; Palaemonidae. The transcript has 3 exons. The record is from RefSeq and is a predicted model, not a curated record.
GUCAAGAGAUAUGUAGUUUCUGUUGAACAGCGACAAUGAUAAGACGUCACUGAGAUCUCGAGACGUGUGAUAUCUUGCAAAGCCAAUGGGAGGAUCUUUUACAAAUCGCUGAUGACGUGUUUCGGGAAACUCUCGUCAUGGCAGCUCCUGAUUGGCUGAGAACUUCAAAGAACAGGAGUCAAGAGUCAAGAGACCUCAAGGAGAUAUUUAGUUUCUGUUGAGCAGCGACAAUGAUAAGACGUCACUGACGUCUUGCAUAGGUGCACAUCGACCACGGGGGUACUGAACCCCCUAAAAGAUACAUCUCUAUGAGAGCUCUCUCGAACCAUCUUGCCCCACACUUUGAACACGAAGCUCUAAGACUGGAUCCAUCGAGAAUUAGGCCAGAAAGAUGCACCGCCAUUAUCGAAGGCUUUGAUCUUGCGAAGACAAGAGGAACCAUCUACGAACAGGUAAAUGGAAGAUCUAAGCAGGCUCUCCAAGCAUUGGGCAAGUACUUUCAAACAAGCAGGAGGGUGCGUUACUCUGUGCUUCUUGAGUUGAAUGGCUGACCGAUGAAAAAAUAAAGCAACGUUCUAUACUGCAGACGCUUCGGGAACCAUCCUUCGAAAAAUCCAAAUUUGUCAUUUGGGUGACAAAUGAAGUCUUCAAGUUUUGCUCCCAUUACCAGUCAUCAGCUGGUUUUGAUUGAAAUUGGUGGGGGCCUCUGAAUGUGCCAAUAUUAUUUCAGUAACUGUAAUCAACUUGUCCGAAGAGAUAAAUUAGGGAAAUUGUAGUCAUAUUAGGACAGUUAUCAUGAAUGUUGGCACUCAUUUU